AGGCAAUAGUUUUAUUGAAAGCAGAGAUAAGUAGGUACAAGCAAAAACAUCUUAACUAAUGCACUGUCCCAAAAACUGUUUCUAGGCGACGAGGUCCGAGGUGCCCGUGUAGCCGUCGGUCAGAGUUAAGUUGCCGUCGUCGCCCAGGGUGCCAUUGCCAGUGUAGAUGUCGGCCAAAGUUACAUUGUGGGUGCCGUUGCCCGCGUAGACGUCAGCCAAAGUCUCGUUGCCGUCGUCGCCCAGGGUGCCGUUGCCCGCGUAGACGCCAGCCAAAGUACCAUUGCUGCCAUCGUCGCCCAGGGUGCCGUUGCGGGUGUAGACGUCGGACAGGGUGUCGUUGCCAUCUGCCAAAGUUCCGUUGCCCGUGUCGACGU
Gasterosteus aculeatus aculeatus (three-spined stickleback) is the source of this 374-nucleotide long non-coding RNA. Lineage: Eukaryota; Metazoa; Chordata; Actinopteri; Perciformes; Gasterosteidae. The record is from Ensembl.